This 29-nucleotide small RNA is filed under the name Bombyx mori (domestic silkworm). RNAcentral's name for it is "ovarian small RNA-10500". The record is from RNAcentral. Lineage: Eukaryota; Metazoa; Arthropoda; Insecta; Lepidoptera; Bombycidae.
AAGACCCGAGCGAAGCCGGAGCGGGCUGC